RNAcentral lists this ribosomal RNA (522 nucleotides) under uncultured Glomus. Its description in RNAcentral is "SSU rRNA". It matches the Rfam family "Eukaryotic small subunit ribosomal RNA", at positions 569 to 1092 of the family's 1831-position model. Lineage: Eukaryota; Fungi; Glomeromycota; Glomeromycetes; Glomerales; Glomeraceae. The record is from RNAcentral.
AGCAGCCGCGGUAAUUCCAGCUCCAAUAGCGUAUAUUAAAGUUGUUGCAGUUAAAAAGCUCGUAGUUGAAUUUCGGGGUCAGUAGGUUGGUCGUGCCACUGGUAUGUACUGGCCUCACUGAUUCCUCCCUCUUGUAGAACCGUAAUGCCAUUAAGUUGGUGUUGCGGGGAAACAGGACUGUUACUUUGAAAAAAUUAGAGUGUUUAAAGCAGGCUAACGCUUGAAUACAUUAGCAUGGAAUAAUGAAAUAGGACGUUCGACCCUAUUUUGUUGGUUUCUAGGAUUGACGUAAUGAUUAAUAGGGAUAGUUGGGGGCAUUAGUAUUCAAUUGUCAGAGGUGAAAUUCUUGGAUUUAUUGAAGACUAACUACUGCGAAAGCAUUUGCCGAGGAUGUUUUCAUUAAUCAAGAACGAAAGUUAGGGGAUCGAAGACGAUCAGAUACCGUCGUAGUCUUAACCAUAAACUAUGCCGACUAGGGAUCGGAUGAUGUUAAUUUUAUAAUGACUCAUUCGGCGCCUUACG